Megalops atlanticus (tarpon) is the source of this 77-nucleotide non-coding RNA. NCBI's taxonomy places the organism in Eukaryota, Metazoa, Chordata, Actinopteri, Elopiformes, Megalopidae. The record is from the annotation of a GenBank genome assembly.
GGCAGUGUGUUGCAAUGGUAAUGAUUAGGGCUCGUAACCGAAAGGUUGCUGGUUCAAUUCCCUGCUUAGCACUGCCG